CCUACGGGGGGCUGCAGUAAGGAAUAUUGGACAAUGGACGCAAGUCUGAUCCAGCCAUCCCGCGUGGAGGAAUAAUGCCCUAUGGGUUGUAAACUCCUUUAGCUGGGGAAUAAAAGACCGAUUUAUCGGGAAUUGAAGGUACCCAGAGAAUAAGCACCGGCUAACUCCGUGCCAGCAGCCGCGGUAAUACGGAGGGUGCAAGCGUUAUCCGGAUUUACUGGGUUUAAAGGGUGCGUAGGUGGCCUGAUAAGUCAGUGGUGAAAUCUCUCGGCUUAACCGAGUGGCUGCCAUUGAUACUGUUGGGCUUGAAUACGGUUGAAGUAGGCGGAAUAAAUCAUGUAGAGGUGAAAUUCUUAGAUAUGAUUUAGAACACCGAUUGCGAAGGCAGCUUACUAAACCGCAAUUGACACUGAGGCACGAAAGCGUGGGGAUCAAACAGGAUUAGAUACCCGAGUAGUC
Molecule: ribosomal RNA, 459 nt
Filed under: uncultured Bacteroidota bacterium
Lineage: Bacteria; Pseudomonadati; Bacteroidota
Description: bacterial SSU rRNA
Rfam family: Bacterial small subunit ribosomal RNA
Source: RNAcentral